CGCGUGGGAACGUGCCCUUCUCUAAGGAAUAGCCUCGGGAAACUGAGAGUAAUACCUUAUACGCCUCGGGAAGGAUUAUCGAGAGAUCGCCGCGUUAGAUAGAUAGUUGGUGGGGUAAGUGGCCUACCAAGUCUACGAUCUAUAGCUGGUUUUAGUAGGAUGAUCAGCAACACUGGGACUGAGACACGGCCCACGACUCCUACGGGAGGGCAGCAGUGGGGAAGUCUUGGACAAUGGGCGGCAAGCCUGAUCCAGCCAUGCCGCGUGAGUGAUGAAGGCCUUAGGGUCGUAAAGCUCUUU
Molecule: ribosomal RNA, 300 nt
Filed under: uncultured Paracoccaceae bacterium
Lineage: Bacteria; Pseudomonadati; Pseudomonadota; Alphaproteobacteria; Rhodobacterales; Paracoccaceae
Description: bacterial SSU rRNA
Rfam family: Bacterial small subunit ribosomal RNA
Source: RNAcentral